GAUGAACGCUGACGGUGUGCCUAAUACAUACAAGUCGAGCGAACAGACGAGGAGCUUACUCCUCUGACGUUAGCGGCGGACGGGUGAGUAACACGUGGAUAACCUACCUAUAAGACUGGGAUAACUUCGGGAAACCGGAGCUAAUACCGGAUAACAUGUUGAACCGCAUGGUUCAACAGUGAAAGACGGUCUUGCUGUCACUUAUAGAUGGAUCCGCGUCGCAUUAGCUAGUUGGUAAGGUAACGGCUUACCAAGGCAACGAUGCGUAGCCGACCUGAGAGGGUGAUCGGCCACACUGGAACUGAGACACGGUCCAGACUCCUACGGGAGGCAGCAGUAGGGAAUCUUCCGCAAUGGGCGAAAGCCUGACGGAGCAACGCCGCGUGAGUGAAGAAGGUCUUCGGAUCGUAAAACUCUGUUAUUAGGGAAGAACAAAUGUGUAAGUAACUAUGCACGUCUUGACGGUACCUAAUCAGAAAGCCACGGCUAACUACGUG
Molecule: ribosomal RNA, 497 nt
Filed under: uncultured bacterium
Lineage: Bacteria
Description: partial 16S ribosomal RNA
Rfam family: Bacterial small subunit ribosomal RNA
Source: RNAcentral